GGGCCCGUAGCUCAGCUGGGAGUGCAUCUGACUGGCAGUCAGAAGGUCAGUGGUUCGAACCCCCUCGGGUCCACCA
Molecule: transfer RNA, 76 nt
Filed under: Chloroflexota bacterium
Lineage: Bacteria; Bacillati; Chloroflexota
Description: Chloroflexi bacterium tRNA-Ala
Rfam family: tRNA
About the family: Transfer RNA (tRNA) molecules are approximately 80 nucleotides in length. Their secondary structure includes four short double-helical elements and three loops (D, anti-codon, and T loops). Further hydrogen bonds mediate the characteristic L-shaped molecular structure. tRNAs have two regions of fundamental functional importance: the anti-codon, which is responsible for specific mRNA codon recognition, and the 3' end, to which the tRNAs corresponding amino acid is attached (by aminoacyl-tRNA synthetases). tRNAs cope with the degeneracy of the genetic code in two manners: having more than one tRNA (with a specific anti-codon) for a particular amino acid; and 'wobble' base-pairing, i.e. permitting non-standard base-pairing at the 3rd anti-codon position.
Source: RNAcentral